Molecule: long non-coding RNA, 1192 nt
Filed under: Mytilus galloprovincialis (Mediterranean mussel)
Lineage: Eukaryota; Metazoa; Mollusca; Bivalvia; Mytilida; Mytilidae
Source: RNAcentral
UUGCCAUUAAAUUUAAUAUUUAAUAUCAAUUUAUUACCCGCAAUAAACUGUUUCAAAUGUUCUAAGUAACUUCUUUCUUCCUUUUUUUGUUUGUUUGUUUGUUUGUUUGUUUGUUUGUUUGUUCGUUUUUGGUUUUUUUUCGAUUGUUAUAAGCAUUAAAAAGGGGAAAGGGUGUGUGCAAAUAUGUUGAUAGUUUGAUGAUUUACAAAUCUACAAGAUUCACAAUUAACAAGAGUGUUUGUAUUUUUAUAAAGAUGGUUAGGUGAGACUUAGGCCAUAACCUUAUGCACAAAUUUGCUGUACCAUAUGGCUGUAAAAGUUUCAAGCUUCAGGUGUAUCUUGACUUGCUACAUGCCUUUAUGUCAUUUAUCGUUUUUUGUUCCGUAAUGAGGUAAAAAGAAAAAAAAAGAACUGCAUUUUGCUUCUAAUAUUCUAAACGCUAAAAAACGUUAAAAAGGACACCGGCACUUUGACUCAGCAAAAGGUAAUUCGAUCAAUCAGUAAUCAGAAGACUCUGGACUAUGAAUCUUAGAAAAGACUGCCCUGAGAAUAUUUUCACACCAAACAAUUAGAAUCACGAAAUUGCAACGAUAAACACAAAAAUCGAGCAGCACACCUAUAUCAUAUUCCCGAUACUCAAGAAGUACAUUUUGCAAUAUAAAACUCUGAAAUUAUAUUUUUCUUAUUUACACAAGAAGCCCCGGGAAACAAGUUAUUUACAAGUAUAAAUAAUAAAGUAAAUACAUUUUUAUGUGGUCAUAUUCUUUAUUAUGCACAUUCAAAUAGCUACAUGUUUGAAGAAGUGUUACAUAUUCGGCAUCACAUUCUGAUCAAACCUUAUUUUGAUAAAUAAAAAUCUAGACAAACUGAAAACGUGUUCUGUAUACUUCUAUAUUCAUUUUUUACAUUAAAUUUAGGAUUUCUUUUUUUCGAGAAGUCAGCGUAUUGAUGACAUGUACAUAUAUGUUCAUUAUUCGCCAUACCCUGUUCCUCGUGAGAAGGGGCAUCCAGGAUAAGCAAAUCUAUUUAUAAAAACCACAAAAAUAAAUGUAAAGAAUUUUGUGAAUUGAUUAAUAGUUUUAGUGGACAAAAAUAAUAAGACAAAACAAAUGAAUAACAAAUCAUAAUCAAUGACAUACACAUGCUACAUUUCAUUUAAAAAUAAACAUGUACAUUAUUGAAAAAAUAAGCG